UUUAUUAGGGAAAGUUGGGGGUCAUGUCUCAGCUACCUAUAGUUUUAUUAGUAGAGGCUUGAUAGAUGGUCAUUCAGAGUUGAUGUAUUUACUUCUAGUUUUGUUUUGUAUAACCAAAGUAUAAAUAUUUUAAAUAAUUUUGUAUUGAACAUAUUUAGCUAUGACAUCUUUUCCGCUUAGUUCUUCCAUAUUUAUGUAACAUAAUUCAAUCACUCAUGAGUUAU
RNAcentral lists this long non-coding RNA (224 nucleotides) under Capsicum annuum. RNAcentral describes it as "long non-coding RNA (CANN_LNC007036)". The record is from RNAcentral. Lineage: Eukaryota; Viridiplantae; Streptophyta; Magnoliopsida; Solanales; Solanaceae.